RNAcentral lists this small nucleolar RNA (88 nucleotides) under Mus pahari (shrew mouse). RNAcentral describes it as "predicted gene, 23994 (MGP_PahariEiJ_G0034136.1)". It matches the Rfam family "Small nucleolar RNA SNORA17". From Rfam's summary of the family: snoRNA ACA 17 belongs to the H/ACA family of snoRNAs and is predicted to guide pseudouridylation of the 28S rRNA at positions U4659 and U4598. It shares the same host gene together with ACA43. NB This family has a high threshold value to exclude a large number of closely related sequences that do not appear to have conserved H and ACA boxes, and may be pseudogenes. The record is from RNAcentral. Lineage: Eukaryota; Metazoa; Chordata; Mammalia; Rodentia; Muridae.
AUUAGGAAACCAAAGAAAGAGGAGAGAGGCCGUGUCCACACUCAGUGUUCUGACCUGUGAACAUCUGAGUGAUUAAUAGCCUAACAUU